GAGAGCCGGAUGCAGCGACAAGUUGCAUGUCCGGUUCGGAGGGGGUUUGACGCCUAACCUCAUGGGCUAGUCGCUUACUACCCUAC
This is a non-coding RNA of Candidatus Entotheonella sp., 86 nucleotides long. Lineage: Bacteria; Pseudomonadati; Candidatus Tectimicrobiota; Candidatus Entotheonellia; Candidatus Entotheonellales; Candidatus Entotheonellaceae. The record is from Rfam.